This 617-nucleotide ribosomal RNA is filed under the name Parahaemophilus parainfluenzae. RNAcentral's name for it is "Haemophilus parainfluenzae bacterial LSU rRNA". It matches the Rfam family "Bacterial large subunit ribosomal RNA", at positions 1 to 651 of the family's 2925-position model. Lineage: Bacteria; Pseudomonadati; Pseudomonadota; Gammaproteobacteria; Pasteurellales; Pasteurellaceae. The record is from RNAcentral.
GUUGUAUAGUUAAGUGACUAAGCGUACAAGGUGGAUGCCUUGGCAAUCAGAGGCGAGGAAGGACGUGCUAAUCUGCGAAAAGCUUGGAUGAGUCGAUAAGAGGCGUUUAAUCCAAGAUGUCCGAAUGGGGAAACCCAGUAGAUGAAGAAUCUACUAUCACUUACUGAAUCCAUAGGUAAGUGAGGCAAACCGGGAGAACUGAAACAUCUAAGUACCCCGAGGAAAAGAAAUCAACCGAGAUUUCGUUAGUAGCGGCGAGCGAACGCGAAGGAGCCUGUUAGUGAUAAUGACAGAGACAGAGGAACAAGCUGGGAAGCUUGGCGAUACAGGGUGAUAGCCCCGUACUCGAAGUCCAGGUCAUGGUACUAAGCUAACGAUAAGUAGGGCGGGACACGUGAUAUCCUGUUUGAAGAUGGGGGGACCAUCCUCCAAGGCUAAAUACUCCUGAUUGACCGAUAGUGAACCAGUACUGUGAAGGAAAGGCGAAAAGAACCCCGGUGAGGGGAGUGAAAUAGAACCUGAAACCUUGUACGUACAAGCAGUGGGAGCCCUUUAAGGGUGACUGCGUACCUUUUGUAUAAUGGGUCAGCGACUUAUAUUUUGUAGCGAGGUUAACC